This 76-nucleotide transfer RNA is filed under the name Cryomorphaceae bacterium. Its description in RNAcentral is "tRNA-Lys". It matches the Rfam family "tRNA". From Rfam's summary of the family: Transfer RNA (tRNA) molecules are approximately 80 nucleotides in length. Their secondary structure includes four short double-helical elements and three loops (D, anti-codon, and T loops). Lineage: Bacteria; Pseudomonadati; Bacteroidota; Flavobacteriia; Flavobacteriales; Cryomorphaceae. The record is from RNAcentral.
GAUUCCGUAGCUCAGUUGGUAGAGCAACGCCCUUUUAAGGCGUGGGUCCUGGGUUCGAGCCCCAGCGGGAUCACAA